Molecule: long non-coding RNA, 600 nt
Filed under: Mus musculus (house mouse)
Lineage: Eukaryota; Metazoa; Chordata; Mammalia; Rodentia; Muridae
Description: predicted gene, 49974
Source: RNAcentral
GAAACCGAGGCUGUACAUACAUUUUUUUAUUCCUAUAACUGCAUCCCUGGCUAGCCCUUCCGUGGCUGUCUUCCGUGGCUGGAGCUUUAGUAAAGGAGACGCAAAUCCGGACUCAGUGUAACCUCACACACCUCCCUGUGCCUGACAAGAAAUGUGGAGAGGAUGAUGUCUGCUUCCCUGGGCCGUGGUGAGGACUAAGUCCUUUCCUAGGGUGGUGACUGAAUCACCAGGAAUGCUCCAGCGGCAUUGUCUGAAAGAGAUCAAGCAUUAGUACUGUGAGUGCCAGAAAGGGCCUGUGAGCCCAGUGAAGGUCUGGAAGCCUCCUGAGAGUUUCCGCACAAUUCUUAGAUGAAGAGAGAUUCGAGGGAAACAAGCAGAACAGAACUCCACAAGAGCACAAAGUCCUCAGAACAUGCAGCCCUGAGGCAAACCCACCCUGGCUGUGCUAGCCGGUGGCCACAUUCUAAAGCCAUUUGUCAUUCUUCCUGCACAGCCCUCAGCAACUUUGUCAGGUGCGUGAAGCCAAGGACCAGUGUGGCAGAAUCUGCUCCACAUGGCUCAUCCUAGACCGAGGACAAACACAAACCUCCUAUAGAGCAU